UACGUAGGGUGCAAGCGUUAAUCGGAAUUACUGGGCGUAAAGCGUGCGCAGGCGGUUAUGUAAGACAGGUGUGAAAUCCCCGGGCCUAACUGGGAACUGCAUUUGUGACUGCAUAGCUAGAGUACGGUAGAGGGGAUGGAAUUCCGCGUGUAGCAGUGAAAUGCGCAGAUAUCAGGAGGAACACCGAUGGCGAAGGCAGGUCGCUGGGCCGAUACUGACGUGAGGAGCGAAAAGCGUGGGGGAGGCGAACAGG
RNAcentral lists this ribosomal RNA (253 nucleotides) under uncultured bacterium. Its description in RNAcentral is "partial 16S ribosomal RNA". It matches the Rfam family "Bacterial small subunit ribosomal RNA", at positions 524 to 776 of the family's 1533-position model. The record is from RNAcentral.